GAGUGGCGAACGGCUGAGUAACGCGUGGGAAUCUGCCCAGUAGUGGGGGACAACUCGGGGAAACUCGGGCUAAUACCGCAUAAUGUCUACGGACAAAGGGGGCUUCGGCUCCGCCUUGAUAGAGGCCCAAGUGAGAUUAGCUAGUUGGUGGGGGAAAGGCGGGGAGGGCAACGAUCUUUAGUUGUUCUGAGAGGAAGAUCAGCCACACUGGAACUGAAACACGGCCCAGACUCCUACGGGAGGCAGCAGUGGGAAAUAUUGCACAAUGGGGGAAACCCUGAUGCAGCCUUGCCGCGUGUGUAAAGAAGGCCUUCGGGUUGUAAAGCACUUUCAGUUGUGAGGAAAGGUUGGUAGUUAAUACCGGGGGGGGGUGAGGUUAACCCCAACCAAGCACCGGCUAACUCCGUGCCAGCAGCCGCGGUAAUACGGAGGGUGCGAGCGUUAAUCGGAAUUACUGGGCGUAAAGCGCACGCAGGCGGUUUGUUAAGCUAGAGGUGAAAGCCCCGCGCUCAGCGUGGGAACUGGCCUUUAAAACUGGCAGGCUAGAGUCUUGGAGAGGGGAGUGGAAUUCCAGGGGUAGCGGUGAAAUGCGUAGAUAUCGGGAGGACAUCAGUGGCGAAGGCGGCUCCCUGGGCAAA
This 638-nucleotide ribosomal RNA is filed under the name uncultured bacterium. RNAcentral describes it as "bacterial SSU rRNA". It matches the Rfam family "Bacterial small subunit ribosomal RNA", at positions 93 to 737 of the family's 1533-position model. The record is from RNAcentral.